RNAcentral lists this transfer RNA (71 nucleotides) under Creobroter sp. JZ-2017. RNAcentral's name for it is "tRNA-Leu". It matches the Rfam family "tRNA". Rfam says of the family: Transfer RNA (tRNA) molecules are approximately 80 nucleotides in length. Their secondary structure includes four short double-helical elements and three loops (D, anti-codon, and T loops). Lineage: Eukaryota; Metazoa; Arthropoda; Insecta; Mantodea; Hymenopodidae. The record is from RNAcentral.
ACUAUUUUGGCAGAAGAUUAUAGUGCAGUAGAUUUAGGAUCUAUAUAUGUGAUUAAAAAUCAUAAAUAGUA